This 594-nucleotide long non-coding RNA is filed under the name Xyrichtys novacula (pearly razorfish). The record is from RNAcentral. Lineage: Eukaryota; Metazoa; Chordata; Actinopteri; Labriformes; Labridae.
UUUUUUUUAACUUAUUUAUUUUCUGUAUGUUUGGCCAUGUUUCUUUGUGUGCAUAUGUAUGUCUGCUUUCCUCCGAACAUAAGCAGGUCUGACGAGGUGACCACUCUUUUCCUGGAGGAACUGUUGCUGCAGAAACUCAAAGUGCUGCCUUCCUGUUCCGUCUGGGAAAUCCAAGGGUGGUCAUCUUGUUGAAGGUAAGAUGAACUUUUCAUUGUGGUAACGUUAUGUUUUCACCAAAGUAACCACAAGAAAGCAUGUAAGAAACCAGGUCCUGCAUUCUGAUAACUUCAUCCAUAUUCAGUUUAAAACAGAUUUUCUAAUGCUGCACCUCACCUUCACUGUUUUUAAGUCGAGUAUUUUCUGCAUUUGCAUGUGUGUCUCUCUCCUUUUCCCCAACCAUCACAGAAGUGAGCAUCUUCAGUGUUGAACCUGGCAACCACCAAUGUCUUGAGGAAGGAUCUAGAUCACCUCUAAGAGACGAAGUCAGGCAUCCUUGUGCUGCAGGUAAGCUGUGAUGGAGAACACCACUUAACACACUGUCCUUUUGUCACCCAAAUGUCUGAAUGCUUCAACUCCAGAAACAACUUUUCUCUG